CUGGUUGAUCCUGCCAGUAGUCAUAUGCUUGUCUCAAAGAUUAAGCCAUGCAUGUCUAAGCACAUGCCUUAAUACGGUGAAGCCGCGAAUAGCUCAUUACAACAGCCACCGUUUACUAGAAUAUAGUUAUCCUACUUGGAUAACUGUGGCAAUUCUAGAGCUAAUACAUGCAAAAAAGCUCCGCCCGCAAGGAACGAGCGCAUUUAUUAGAAUAAAAACCAAUCGGGUUUCGGCCCGUAAUUUGGUGAAUCUGAAUAACUUUGCCAAUCGCACAGUCCUAGUACUGGCGAUGUAUCUUUCAAGUGUCUGCCUUAUCAACUUUCGAUGGUAGGUUAUACGCCUACCAUGGUAGUAACGGGUAACGGAGAAUAAGGGUUCGACUCCGGAGAGGGAGCCUGAGAAACGGCUACCACAUCCAAGGAAGGCAGCAGGCGCGCAAAUUACCCACUUCCAGAACGGAGAGGUAGUGACGAAAAAUAACGAGACAGUCCUCUUCGAGGUCUGUCAUCGGAAUGGGUACAAUUUAAAUCCUUUAACGAGGAUCUAUUGGAGGGCAAGUCUGGU
This 564-nucleotide ribosomal RNA is filed under the name uncultured eukaryote. Its description in RNAcentral is "SSU rRNA". It matches the Rfam family "Eukaryotic small subunit ribosomal RNA", at positions 4 to 565 of the family's 1831-position model. The record is from RNAcentral.